GGUUCCAUAGUGUAGCGGUUAGCACGUCUGUUUUACAUGCAGAAGGUCCUGGGUUCGCACCACAGUGGAGCCA
Molecule: transfer RNA, 73 nt
Filed under: Pteropus alecto (black flying fox)
Lineage: Eukaryota; Metazoa; Chordata; Mammalia; Chiroptera; Pteropodidae
Rfam family: tRNA
About the family: Transfer RNA (tRNA) molecules are approximately 80 nucleotides in length. Their secondary structure includes four short double-helical elements and three loops (D, anti-codon, and T loops).
Source: Rfam by way of RNAcentral